RNAcentral lists this long non-coding RNA (1320 nucleotides) under Anser brachyrhynchus (Pink-footed goose). Its description in RNAcentral is "lncRNA (ENSABRG00000022030.1)". Lineage: Eukaryota; Metazoa; Chordata; Aves; Anseriformes; Anatidae. The record is from RNAcentral.
UGAAAGGUAAAAUCUCAUAGGAUUAAUUUUCUACCAUUAUGAGAUAAAAUCUUGUGCAACUUCAGCUUAGCUGAAUUGGAAAGAAGACACUUCCACCCCACCGCACGUCCAAAUUCAGAAAAAAAGUAAAUUUUUGCACAUUUUAAGUACAGCUCACCUCUCCUAAGCAAAAUAGUUUUUGUUCCCAUGUUGUAUUGCAUUAAACUUUUUUUUUAUUAUUCCUUCUUCAUGCCCUCUAGAAAAGGUAGUUCCUUCUUAGGGUUGUUCCUGCAAUAAUUUUGAAUUGAACUCAGUUUGUUCCAGGUGGCUUUUGUCACUACCAAAACACUGUGAGAAGAAUCAGUCUGCAAAACUGUAAGUCAUCUUAUUCACAUUGAGCUUAUGCAUUCAUCUUCUUCCAAGCUCUUUUUGUAGUAGGCUCUAGAGUCCUGCCAGACCUGUCCACUCUGUCAUGUACUGAAAAAAUGAAACAAGCAAACAAACAAAAAAAGCCUUUGAUCUAAAAACAACGGUCAGAAAGGUACAAGUAAUCACGAUGGGUUGUUCUUGUUUCGGUUGUCUUGACUCCUACCUGCACAGCAAAAGGAGGAUGGCCCAAGCUGUGUCCCGGGGUGGCUGGAGCACAGCCUCACCAUCCUGAUGUGGCCUCAGGGAUGCAGCCCUGUCCUUGUGCUGACAUACAAAGCGUGAGUGAAAGCCUGGGCCAAGCAGCAGACCCAGAGCUGCAAAAUGCACCGCAGUGUCUUCUGAUAUUUGUAAAAACUGUCAGUAGUACAGUCACUCUUACUUCACCCUUUGGCGAUGGUACUUUUUCACGUUGUAAGCUCAGUGAAGACCCGUGCAGUGCCUGCCAAUGGGUGAAAACAGGGUAUGAGCGAUUACAAAGCCUGGCUCCGUGGCUCAGACUUGUCUGCUAUCUGCCUCCCAUCAAUGUGAUCCAUCUGGUGGACAGCAGUGUCAUAGAGCAGAACAAGCCAGGGUUGGAAACGGAGUCACUGGACGUGCUGCUGUCCACAGAUGCUGCCUCUCUGGAGGAUGCAUUGCUGCCUCCGUGUUCUCUUGUUCUUGUGCUUUGGUUUUGCCUCAGGUUGAAAGGUGUUACGGACCCUCUUCGUCUAGCAAAUGCUUGUGCUGAGAGUUUGCACACAGAUGCAGAAGUUGGCACGUUGACCCUAAUUAACUGGAUCCAGUCCAUGGUCUUCACGUCACUUGGCCUUAUUAAAUGUGUGCAUCUGUGAAAAUUCCCCAUACUAAUUCCUCAUUCUAACCAGCGUCUAAAUAUUUCAGACAGAACAAGUAAUAAAUUAGACUGAGGAACCA